AAUCGCCCCACUCUUCAUGUAACGCUGUGAAAGAAUCCUGCUCAUCAGAACGAAUUCUAACGGGUCGCUGAAUGUGAAGCUCACGUCACCAACAAAGCGCGGUUUCCUCCCUCGCCAUCCUUCCUCAUGGUCGCGCACCCGGUUCACCUCACCAACAAAGCGCGGUUUCCUCCCUCGCCCUUCUUCCUCGGGAUCGUGCACGCGGUUCACGUCACCAACAAAGCGCGGUUUCCUCCCUCGCCAGACUUCCUCAUGGUCGCGCACCCGUUUCACCUCACCAACAAAGCGCGGUUUCCUCCCUCGCGAUCCUUCCUCGUGAUCGCGCACCCAGCUCACCUCACCAGCAAAGCGCGGUUUCCUCCCUGGCAAUACUUCCUCGGGAUCGUGCACCCGUUUCACCUCACCAACAAAGCGCGGUUUCCUCCCUCGCCAUCCUUCCUCAUGGUCGCGCACCCGGCUCACCUCAAGAACAAAGCGCGGUUUCCUCCCUGGCAAUACUUCCUCGGGAUCGUGCACGCGGUUCACCUCACCAACAAAGCGCGGUUUCCUCCCUCGCCAUCCUUCCUCGUGGUCGCGCACCCGGCUCACCUCAAGAACAAAGCGCGGUUUCCUCCCUCGCCAUCCUUCCUUAUGGUCGCGCACCCGGCUCACCUCAACAACAAAGCGCGGUUUCCUCCCUCGCCAUCCUUCCUCGUGGUCGCGCACCCGGUUGGAUUUCACAGUCAUGGAAGUUCUGCUUUAAAAUCCGUUUCUGAAGAAGUGUUAAUGAUCUUGACACUGCUGACCAGGGACAAAAUGUCCCAUUGACAGUCAUGCUCUGGAGCAGGAUGGGCAGUGAGAGACCAGAGACCACAGGAUGGUGGAAAAGCCAGGAAAUUUGUGAGCCGACCAAACCGGAUUUGAAUUCUCUUUCUGAAAAUAAGUAAUUAUGUGAGUCACUCAUUCUCUGAGCUUGAGUUUCUGCAUCCGUAAACUAAGGAUGAUAUGUGAGUUUUGCUUGUUUCCCUAAGACAAGUUAUGCAAACUGAUAAGAGCAG
This 1037-nucleotide long non-coding RNA is filed under the name Homo sapiens (human). RNAcentral describes it as "non-protein coding lnc-PFKP-9:3". The record is from RNAcentral. Lineage: Eukaryota; Metazoa; Chordata; Mammalia; Primates; Hominidae.